Long non-coding RNA from Gasterosteus aculeatus aculeatus (three-spined stickleback), 3234 nucleotides. The record is from Ensembl. NCBI's taxonomy places the organism in Eukaryota, Metazoa, Chordata, Actinopteri, Perciformes, Gasterosteidae.
AUCGUACGUACCGAGACGUCUUCAUGGGUUGUUUUUACACGGCCGUCUUCUUUACUGGAUUUGCAACAGAGAUCAGAGAAACUCAGCACACUAAUCACCCAUUGGUUCCCCUUCCAUCAAAUAAUGUAAAAAACAUGGUUUGAUUGACGUGACAUUCACAGGCAUUUUAUUACGAAAUGCAUUGAGUCAACGUCAGUUCUCUUACCUGGUUACAAAGACCAUGUUUAAAUAGAUGCUGUUUGGCAGAAUCCCUCUGAGCUGCAGGAACAACAAAAAGCAGAUAACAGUUGUUAUCGCUGUGAUUUGCUGUGGGCGGACAGAACGUAAAUAGCACUCAUUCAACAGCUGUAUAAUUCUUACAGAUACAGCCUCACACUUGUUGUACGCUUGUUUGUUUCUCACCCAUUUGUGUGCGAUGUCUCUCGCUGUGUAGAACUCAGUGUUGUUCCCGUCAUAACGGAAGAUGGCAAACAUCAGUGUCACUUCGUAAGAGGACCAUACUGCCCAGCAGCCAAAGGAAAUAUAAAGCACCGUUAAGGACGCGUUAACGUAGGUAAAGAAAACGUUCACAGCAGCAACGGUGAAUUGCAGACCAUCCUUACUCUUAUUAUUAUCAUUAUUGUGAAGGAUGUUUCCAUGGUACAAAGCUCAGUAUUUGGUAGAUAUAUUUUGGAUACAUUUUUUUUAAUAAUAAUAAGAUAAAUAAAUAAAAUAAUUAAGGUGAUUAAUGUGGUGUGGUGACAAUAAUGUCAAUAACUCCCACAAUGUGAAAAAGAAAACUAGACGGGUUAAUUGCUCAAACCCAGCCAAGUCAUCACAAUCAGAGACAUGCAGACGCCGCCUUGUAAACAAAGGUUAACAUAAAGUUUUAUGGUGUCCAUCACAGCUCGUUCUAGCUUUGCAAAAAGACAAAACACAACCUCUGACAGCUGUAUGAUUAAAUGCUCCCGAUCGUCAUGUUAUUGAUCACAGUAAAGCUUCUAUAUUUACUGAACUGACAAAGAGACAGUGGGUCAAUAUUGUAUUGGAGGGUUGAGGACACACAGUAAGCCGAGGCAGCCACGGUGGAAACCAUUAAGCAUGGAAAAGGCUGUAAAACACUCGAUGACACUGACAGAACAUUUACUGCCUCAAAGUGAAUCACCGACCGGUGCGUUAACACUGUGGGAAAAGGGGAAGGAAAACUUCUUGCUUUCAAAUUUUAAAUAAAACGCUGUACUUUAGUCGAAAAUAAUGAGAGAAAACAUAUUCCGGGGGACGUAAAUGUCGUGUAAAAGUGUCCCAUCGGCUCACCGCACCGCAGGCUGGGGUCAGGGAUCGGAGCACAGGCCUGAGAGUCCCAGUCGUCCCAGUCGUCCCUCUCCCACUUCACCAGGGUGCCUUCUGUGCAAUUCAGUGACGUCACUUCCUGUUGGCUCCUCUCUCGAUCCCAGAAUCGAAAUAGAGAUAAUGUUCCCACCGGAGCGGGAAGCGAGACAACCUCCCCGUUGACCCAGGGUUGUGAUGCACCCAGAGUAAGCGCCCCACCGGGGGCUAGUUUGCAGCUCGAGUCGAUAAAGGAGGGAGUUGAAUCUACGUUGUGAGGCAGGAGAGGAGGAAACAGCAGAAAAUGUCAUGAAACCGUUUUAUGACCUGCUUUUUUGGUAUGCAGAUUGUCUCAAAAUGAAGGUCCAGUAGGCCUACAAAUAACCUGGCGUGUGUCUAAUGGCUCCAAAGUAGAAAACGUGUAUGUUGAGACUCUGUUUUUCUUUGUCAUUCUUUCCCUCCCCAGAGCUCGGAGCUCUCCCUCCACCCACCUGCCUGGAUGUCCGCCAGGUUGCCGUUGACGUAGAGGGCCGGCCGGUCUUUAGCGUGCGUCCAGGUCAGGCACAGCGAGUACCACUGUGCCGGACGGAGGACGAUCUCAGCAGUGGUCCACUCCGUCCCCAGCAGCCACACCACUAAACGACCUUUCCUCCCCCCCAAGCCCAGCGCUGUGCCCUGAACCCCAGCAUGCGUGUACACGAAGGCGCUCCACGGUGCGGAGUCCUCAAUGGUCUAGAUGUGGUAGAUGAAUUAUUAUACUUGGUUCACAAAGAGUUGAACUGGUUAGUCCUCGUGGGAACGACUUGUGGGAGUUCAUCGUCGGUACCUUGAACUUCAUGCUGAAGCAGACGGUGAGCUCCCGCAGGUCGGGGAUGGACACAUUCAGUCUCCACUGGCUGCAGUUGGAGGUGAAGUCAGCAACCUCCCCCCACAGGCUGAGCCGAGGGGCUGCCGGACGCACACAACACGCAGUAAAUCAUUAACACACGGCACGGAGGAGCACAUGUCUCGUUCCUGAAGAUGCUUUUUGUACAUCUGAUGGGUGGAGCCGAAUGAAAAAGAUAAUGUCUGGUCAUUGUACUGUUGAUAUGUAGACAAUUGACUUAAUUAGAUUUAAAAACCCUGAUGUUUAAAGUCUGUAACAUCUGCAUGUGGGGAAAUCUCCAUUUAUGAACCUUACAUCAAAAUAGCUGCAACUGACGAUUAUUUUAAUGAUUAAACACAAAACAACAAAAGCUGGCUUCAUGUUUUUGACGAAGAUAUAUAACAUAUUUGUAAGUGCGAAGCUGUGUAGUGUUUAACUACUGUAAACUGUGUUUACUUUAGAUAUUCCUGCCUUAUUUACAAUGAACCGUGACUUUCUCACAGAUACCUGCAGGCUGUAAUCUAAGAGAUAAAAAGAACUCAGAGUUCCAUCAUAUCUCUUACUUUUGUGUAACCAUAACAAUGAAUAACUAUGACAUGUAUUAUAUUAUUUUGUAUUAUUACAGUAUUUUGAUUGAUGCAGAUUUGAAUGACAUUUAUUUAUGGAAAGUGACUUAACGCACCUGUUUCCAUAGUGAUGGAACUGCUCCACAGAGACAGGGUGAUAAACACAUGCAGGAUACUUCCAAGAACCAUAAUUCAAUUCUGAAACGGAGCAAAUUUGUUUUCAGUUCAACUGAAUAAAGCAAGUUCUGAAAUAUCCAUUAAAUAUAGACAUAUCAUACAAUAUUCUUAUCAAUAAAUGAGUUAUUUCUUCAUCUAUGAAUGAUGAUUUGUGAAUGCUGAUCUUAAGGACCACGUUUAGUUACUACCUUGAAAGUGCUUACCUGCAAAAAUAAAAUAUUCCAGAGAAUAUUGCUAAAGGUCAAUUCUGAACCUCAAAGUGUUGGGGCCACAAUGAUGUCUCUGCAAACACGGAUGGUGGAGCAGAGAACGCGUUUUCUU